GGACUCCGACCGCCUCGCAGGUCGCCGGCUGCGUUUGCGGGCUGCCGCUGCUACGCAACCACACACAGGUGCCGUCCGCACGUCGAUCAACUGAUCGAGGGCGCUCUUGGAACGCCAGUUCCUCGCGCCAAUAGAAGACUGCGCCGCACGCCAACGAGUCCACCUCAACCACUGCCCACAACAUUUAUCACCGUCUAUCGUCAGCGCUGAACAGGUCGUCUGCAUAGUACCUCGACGCCGCUCGCCAUGUCGCCGCUGGGAGGCCGCUCCCCCGGUGUCACGCUGACGUGGCGCGACGUCUCGGUGUACGCCGUCUCGCGGGGCGGCUUCUGGAGGCGCAGCCUCCAACACCGGCGCAUCGUCAACGGCGUGACUGGAGUGGUGCGACCCGGAACCCUCGUGGCGAUGCUGGGAGGCAGCGGCGCCGGUAAGACGACGCUCAUGGCGGCGCUGGCUCACCGAUCACCAGCCGGCACGCUGGUGGACGGCGACAUCCGCGUGAACGGCCACCCGGUGGGUCCCGGCAUGCGGCGCCUCAGCGGCUACAUGCACCAGCACGAGCUCUUCGUCGGCAGCCUCACCGUGCGCGAGCACCUCACGCUCAUGGCGCGGCUGAAGAUGGACCGCCGGACGCACAGCAGCACCCGCGACCGGCAGCUGCAGCAGCUGCUGGCGCAGCUGGGGCUGGAGGACCGUGCUGACGCGCGCAUCGACGGCGCCCUGUCCGGCGGCGAGCGGAAGAGGCUCGCCUUCGCGGCAGAGCUGAUGACCGACCCGCUGCUGCUGUUCUGCGACGAGCCGACCACCGGCCUGGACUCGUUCUCGGCGCAGAAGCUGGUGCACAUGCUGCGCCAGAUGGCCGACCAGGGCCGCACCGUGCUGUGCACCAUCCACCAGCCGUCCAGCGAGGUGCUCGACCUCUUCCACGAGGUCAUCCUGCUCGCCGACGGGCGCGUCGCCUUCGCGGGCGACCUCUCUGCCGCGCUGUCCUUCUUCAGCAGCCUGGGGCUGGAGUGCCCGCCUCUCUACAACCCGGCCGACUUCCUGGUGUGCGCCGUGUCGGGCGGCCCCGGCCGGGACGACGCGGCUCGCCGCCUGUGCGACCAGUUCGCCGCCAGCGACGCCGCCGCCCAGCUGCUGGCCGACGUCAGCCUCGAGGAGCUGCCGCCGGGGCUCGCCCGCUCCAAGCCCUGCCUGCUGGUCGAAGACACGGAGAUACUUGGAGAGACGUCGGAAAAGUUCAAGGCGCCCUUCUUCACGACGUCGCUGCUGUGGCUGACGUGGCGCUACUUCCUGCACGCCAUCAGGGACCCCACCGUGCAGAACCUGCGCAUCCUGCAGAAGAUCGCGAUCGCGGCCAUGGCGGGCCUGUGCUACCUGGGCACAGAGGCGCGCACGCAGCUGGGCGUGCAGUCGGUGCAGGGCGCGCUCUUCAUUGUGGUGGCCGAGAACACCUUCUCGCCCAUGUACGCCGCGCUGGCCGCCAUCCCGCAGGAGCUGCCGCUGCUCAGGAGGGAGUACCGCAGCGGCCUCUACUCGCCGCCCACCUACUACGUCGCUAGGCUGCUCGCAGCGCUGCCGGGCCUGCUGGUGGAGCCGGUGCUGUUCGUGCUGACCGCCUACUGGCUGGUGGGGCUGCGCGACUCGUGGCACGCCGUCGCCAUGACGCUGCUCGUCGUGACGCUGGCGCUCAACGUCUCCACCGCCUGCGGCUGCUUCUUCGGCUCGGCUUUCGACUCGGUGUCUACAGCGAUGGCGUAUCUGGUGCCUUUCGACUACGUGCUCAUGAUCAUGUCUGGGCUCUUCGUAAACCUCAGCACGCUGCCCCUGGCGGUCGAGUGGAUGCAGUACCUGUCCUGGCUCAUGUACGCCAACGAAGCGCUCUCCGUCGUCCAAUGGGAAGGCGUCACAAACAUCACUUGCGAUGGAGCGCCGGAGGGCGUGCCAUGCCUCAGCUCGGGCCGCGAGGUGCUGGACAAGUACAACUUCUCGGCGGACCGCCUCUCCAGCGACCUGGCGUGCAUGGCCGGGCUGUGGGGCGGCUUCCACCUGCUGGCCAUCGUCUGCCUCUGGGUGCGCGUCCGUUCCAACUGACCGCCGUGCUGAGGCACUGGUGGAAAAACGGACUGCCUACGACGGUCAGUGCUACACUGUUACAAUAUCGGUUCACACGCACCGUUCCUGCUUCGCCUCUCGUGGCUGCCACACUGCUCGCGGUUGUGGUCUGCCACGCAGAAGACAGCGUCUGGAACCGCCGUCUUCGACUACAGACUGUGACAUAUGUGCCAAAUUCUACGACAGGGGUAUCUCGAGCUGUGGUCCGAGUACUCAUCCAACAAAGAGGGAUCAUUCCUUUACUGUUGCCAUGCUUGCAGACAAUGGUUGCUCUGAGCUUUAAUACCAGAGGCACCCGUCGAUAAAAGGAGUAUUAGUAUAAAAACGCUUGUGAGGUACCACGAAAUAUUACGAAUUUGAUCUCUCUAUUAACUCCUGUUCAUACUUGUUUAAAUAUGAACUAUUUUAGCCAAAUGCAACAGAUACGACUGCGGCGUAACGUAUUAAGCUAUACAACUCUGACAUAUCUGCUUCAUGUAGAUGAAAGAAAUGUUAGAUUUUUAUAGAGAAAAGAGACUGUUAUUUAUUGCCACUAACAAGUAAGUUAUAUGGAGAUUUUCGUCUCAUACAGCGCCUGUUAUUUAUUGCCACUAAGAAGUAAGUCAUAUGGAGAUUUUCGUCUCAUACAGCGCUAAAGAAAUUUUUGGGAAAUGAUUUGGAGAAAGUGUGAGCCUAAUUAUUCAUUAUAUUUUCGUGUAUGUAAUUUUAUGACGCCAUUAUAAUAUAAAAUAAAAUAAAUCUGUUCCAGGUAUCAGUUGAUACCACUUUCAAACCCACCGAAGUGCAAUAUAC
Molecule: RNA transcript, 2907 nt
Organism: Schistocerca nitens (vagrant locust)
Lineage: Eukaryota; Metazoa; Arthropoda; Insecta; Orthoptera; Acrididae
Gene name: protein scarlet-like
Exons: 16
Source: RefSeq, a predicted model, not a curated record